GGUAUGGGAUGAGCUUGCGUCCGAUUAGCUAGUAGGCGGGGUAACGGCCCACCUAGGCGACGAUCGGUAGCCGGCCUGAGAGGGUGAUCGGCCACAUUGGGACUGAGAUACGGCCCAGACUCCUACGGGAGGCAGCAGUAGGGAAUAUUGCACAAUGGGGGGAACCCUGAUGCAGCAACGCCACGUGUGGGAAGAAGCAUUUCGGUGUGUAAACCACUGUCGUGAGGGAAUAAGGCUAUUUUUCGGAGUAGUUGAAUGUACCUCGAAAGGAAGCACCGGCAAACUUCGUGCCAGCAGCCGCGGCAAUACGAGGGGUGCAAGCGUUGUUCGGAAUCACUGGGCGUAAAGGGAGCGCAGGCGGAAGUGCAAGCAAUCUGUACAAUCCCGGGGCCCAACCCCGGUCCUGCAGAUUGGACUGUAUUUCUUGGAUAGUUCAGGGGCAGGC
This 445-nucleotide ribosomal RNA is filed under the name uncultured bacterium. Its description in RNAcentral is "bacterial SSU rRNA". It matches the Rfam family "Bacterial small subunit ribosomal RNA", at positions 217 to 662 of the family's 1533-position model. The record is from RNAcentral.